Molecule: ribosomal RNA, 285 nt
Filed under: Triticum aestivum (bread wheat)
Lineage: Eukaryota; Viridiplantae; Streptophyta; Magnoliopsida; Poales; Poaceae
Description: partial small subunit ribosomal RNA
Source: RNAcentral
AUGACGAGGUCACCGUAUGCUAACCAAGAAGACAUGCCGAACAAGUGAGAGGACGCAUCUUUGGACAAGGUGAAGGAGAAAGAUGUCAACAUCCCGCCAUGUUGGUGUGGAGAUGUUUGCAAGGUGAAGGUGUCCACCGACCGAAAGAAAUCCUGGACGGAAGGGCGGAGAUAUUUUGUAUGCCCGAACUAUGCUUAUGAUCGUGCACUUCCAACAAACGCCUAUGACCAACCACCAGUAAGCUCGAGAAGUAAAAUGUUACUCUCAAAUGUGUGUCAACACUAA